GUGGCGCCGGCUCUGGCGCGGAGAGGCGCAGGCCCAGGCUCCACUCCCCAGCUGUGAAAGGGUUUUCUGCCUCCUGCUAAGCCAAUUUAUACAUUCCAAGAAAAUCUUCCAUUUCAUCCAGGUGAAACAGAACCUACUGGAAUGAAGCUGGCCUCCCAUGGAAUGAAGCUGGCCUCCCGUCUCCUUGAUUUGAAGCAGCUUCUCCACCUUCAACAUUGCUUUAUGGCAUGUGUGGUCGUUUUUCACUCCAUUGUUGUUGUUUACCCAGUUUAUGGGGGUUGUAAUGUUUAUCACACUCCUUGGAUGAUUUCCGAAGAUCACCCCAUCCUGAGAUCUGCUGCCUUACACAGUGGAGGCUGUUUUCUGAGUGUCGGAUAACUCUGUUAUUAAAUAAGUGCAUAUUGAGAAUACUCACUCCAGAUGCUUAGAGGCAUGUUGAGAAGGACAAAGAUAGUGCCUCCUGUCAGGUCACUUACAUCAGAACUUGCAGGAAACCUGCUUUAUACAGCAGUUGACAGGUGUGGAAAUUGAAGCUCAUGGAAAUGAAAGUUAAUACGCUAAAUUUUCAAGGAGUUAAUGAAAACUGACAUUUCUGCUAAAAACAGCAUGUUCUCCCUGUGGGAUUUUAAAGGAAGGUCAAUGGUAACUGUACAAAGAAGAAAUGGACACAGUCUCAUUGUUAGCAGUCUGAAAAUAGUUGCUAGCACCUCCAUGCCCACGCCAAUGUCUCCAGCCUCUUUCAGGCACCUUGCUGUGUCUUGGAACCACUGGGAGCCCUCACAGGAGGCCCUUCGUUCCUGUAUGCAUGUGGUGCCACAAGCUGCUUUGGGCCCGGAGGAAUCCUACACAUCUCAGAACACUUCCUCACCUGACCCUGUCACCCAUCUCUCCCCUUCUCAUGUGCUCAGCCCCUUCUUUGACUCUUGAAUUUUGAGUUUUUACAGAUGUUUGGGAGCUCUUACCCUGACAUGAAUUUACAAUUGUAAUGGAGACUCAGACAACGUUGUAGAUCACAGAGUGAACUAUGCUUUUUAGUGUUAAAUGCAAUAGCUUAAGAUAGAAUGUUUUACUUGUUACAUAAAUGCUGGUUUUCUUUCAGAUUUAAGGAUAUAUACUUUUUUUUUUUAAGAGAUAGGGUCUUCUAUGUUGCCCAGGCUGGCUUUGAACUCCUGGGAUCAAGUGAUCCUCCUGCCUCAGCCUUCAAAGUAGUUGGGACUACAGGCCCACGCCACCGUGCAUGGCUGGACACGUAAAUUUGAAGUGAAUGGUUAAACAUCCAGCUAGCUGAAAGCAUGACAGACCCUAACAGAAAAGCUACAGUGUGUUUUUGCAGCUAUGAAGUGAAUGGUUUCCUGGGGAAAAUUGUGACUUUGUAUAACUAUUUUUGAAACCAGAAUAAAUUAUAUUUCACUUGCAUAUUCUUAAAUUAUUAAAAUUUUCAGAAGUCAGUGAUACAGAAAUACUAUUUUGCAAUGUUAAUCUGUUUGAGUCUUUGGAGAAAGUGGUUUCAUUAUAGGUACAUGAUGCACUCUUAAUAUUUUAAACAAAUAGUUCACUCUUCCAUUUAAGGGAUAGCAGUUCCUUGUAUAAAAUGACUGGAUAUGUAUAAAGGAAUUACGUUGUCAUGUGCCUUUAACCAGCUUUAGUAAUUACUAUAAUCUCAUAUUUAUGAUCGUUUUGUUAGGUGACAGGACCAAAUGAAAAUAUUUUAUGUUUUCCCAUCACUUUAGAUUUUAUCAUUGUGUAAAUUACUGGGUUUUUAGCAUUUCCUAAUGUGAAGUUUUAAUCAUUUUUAAGUAUACAUAUUUUUUUCUGUACCAUUUAAAUAAAA
Molecule: long non-coding RNA, 1831 nt
Filed under: Homo sapiens (human)
Lineage: Eukaryota; Metazoa; Chordata; Mammalia; Primates; Hominidae
Description: HSALNT0295157
Source: RNAcentral